ACUCCUACGGGAGGCAGCAGUGGGGAAUAUUGCACAAUGGGCGAAAGCCUGAUGCAGCGACGCCGCGUGAGGGAUGACGGCCUUCGGGUUGUAAACCUCUUUCAGUAGGGAAGAAGCGAAAGUGACGGAUACCUGCAGAAGAAGCACCGGCUAACUACGUGCCAGCAGCCGCGGUAAUACGUAGGGUGCGAGCGUUAUCCGGAAUUAUUGGGCGUAAAGAGCUCGUAGGCGGUUUGUCGCGUCUGUCGUGAAAGUCCGGGGCUUAACCCGCAGUCUGCGGUGGGUACGGGCAGACUAGAGUGCAGUAGGGAGAGCU
Molecule: ribosomal RNA, 316 nt
Filed under: uncultured bacterium
Lineage: Bacteria
Description: bacterial SSU rRNA
Rfam family: Bacterial small subunit ribosomal RNA
Source: RNAcentral